UUGAGGAGGGCACAGGAGACGCGUGAGAGGGAGGAGGAGGAGGAGGAGGAGGGAGUUGGCCGUGUGUGACAGACAAGGGGCCUCAAUGUGACUGAUACAGACUCCAGAGCUCUGUGUUAUUAUUCUUCUACUCACACAAGGGCUGCCAGGGUUUAUGUCUGUUUCCUCCUGGAAUAUCUCUCUGGAUUUAAAUAAAGGGGCACAUUUAUUAAAGGGUGAAGUGAAAAUUCACCAGAAAUCCCAUUGGCAGGGACGUCAUCAAUUCACUAACAGGCAUAGAGGACCAUUCCCUAGUGAAAAAGGACAUCUUUAGCGCAGUUUUGGGCCCUAUCACCAGAUAACAGAUGUUCACCUACGCAGAGGGAAUCACCAGCUUUACUGUUAGUUACAAUAAAUGAUGAUUUUCCAUUUUUAUAUUGCAUACCAAUAAAAAAAAUGUUUAAAACAAACAUAACCGUCUACAGCUGAGUGUUUCUCCAGUUUUGUAUACCAUAUUCUCCUAAAAUAGUGCUUUGUGAUAAUAAAGUAUUGUCAUAUAGAUUUCAACUCAACCUAAUAUCAUUGGUCAG
Xenopus laevis (African clawed frog) is the source of this 569-nucleotide long non-coding RNA. RefSeq lists it as uncharacterized. The transcript is spliced from 3 exons. The record is from RefSeq and is a predicted model, not a curated record. Lineage: Eukaryota; Metazoa; Chordata; Amphibia; Anura; Pipidae.